Molecule: transfer RNA, 85 nt
Filed under: Fervidicella metallireducens AeB
Lineage: Bacteria; Bacillati; Bacillota; Clostridia; Eubacteriales; Clostridiaceae
Description: tRNA-Tyr
Rfam family: tRNA
About the family: Transfer RNA (tRNA) molecules are approximately 80 nucleotides in length.
Source: RNAcentral
GGAGGAGUUCCCGAGUGGCCAAAGGGGGCGGACUGUAAAUCCGUUAGCAUAGCUUUCGAUGGUUCGAAUCCAUCCUCCUCCACCA